UAGGAUGUAGCUAAAAGAUAAAGCAUCUCCCUUACACCGAGAAGACACUUGUGCAAACCAAGUUAUCCUGA
This 71-nucleotide transfer RNA is filed under the name Protanguilla palau. Its description in RNAcentral is "tRNA-Val". It matches the Rfam family "tRNA". Rfam says of the family: Transfer RNA (tRNA) molecules are approximately 80 nucleotides in length. Their secondary structure includes four short double-helical elements and three loops (D, anti-codon, and T loops). The record is from RNAcentral. Lineage: Eukaryota; Metazoa; Chordata; Actinopteri; Anguilliformes; Protanguillidae.